UAGGGAAUAUUGGACAAUGGGGGCAACCCUGAUCCAGCCAUGCCGCGUGAGUGAAGAAGGCCCUCGGGUUGUAAAGCUCUUUUGUCCGGAAAGAAAAGCAUUCGGUGAAUACCCGGAUGUUCUGACGGUACCGGAAGAAUAAGCACCGGCUAACUUCGUGCCAGCAGCCGCGGUAAUACGAAGGGUGCAAGCGUUACUAGGAAUUACUGGGCGUAAAGCGUGCGUAGGUGGUUGUUUAAGUCUGAUGUGAAAGCCCUGGGCUCAACCUGGGAAUGGCAUUGGAAACUGGGCAGCUAGAGUGCGGUAGAGGGUAGUGGAAUUCCCGGUGUAGCAGUGAAAUGCGUAGAGAUCGGGAGGAACAUCUGUGGCGAAGGCGACUGCCUGGACUAGCACUGACACUGAGGCACGAAAGCGUGGGGAGCAAACA
Molecule: ribosomal RNA, 427 nt
Filed under: uncultured bacterium
Lineage: Bacteria
Description: bacterial SSU rRNA
Rfam family: Bacterial small subunit ribosomal RNA
Source: RNAcentral